This 2138-nucleotide long non-coding RNA is filed under the name Olea europaea subsp. europaea. Lineage: Eukaryota; Viridiplantae; Streptophyta; Magnoliopsida; Lamiales; Oleaceae. The record is from RNAcentral.
AUACAGCCAAGGACAACUUGGUGUUCUUGGAAAAAUGGUUCCUCAAAUUUAUUCCGAUAAAAAAAAAAAAAAAAAAAAAAAAAAGGGUUCCUGAAAUUUCCAAAUUGCAGGAGUAAAGGCUUGUAUAGCACUGGAGAAAGCUGUGUUUGUAUGUUUCUUGGUGUCUGAAAUUUUCAAUUUUUAUUAAUUGAAUGAAAUACAUGAAGAGAUAAAUCUUGAAGAUGCUUAUUGCUUAUCAUUAGGCCACUGUAUACCCCAUAUAGCAGAGAUAAUGCUCCAAUUCAACAAGAAAGAGAAUCUGUUCAACUAUUGGCCGACUUCGGUUUUACUUGAAUUGUUCAAUCCUGUUUUGAAUAUGGAGAACCUUUAUAUUACAUAUGUAACAUACUUGCAUUAGUUAACGGUUUAAUUUUAUUUAACUUGGUUGCCUUGCUUCUCGUUUGAAUCCAAUAUUGUGGCAACAAUAUUUAGCUGAUCUAUUUAAUUUCCUAUAAUUUAUCUUCAAUUUUAGCAUUUUGUUCUUGUGUAGGAACUACUCCAGUUUGCACUAUGCAGAGCUCCUUAAUUCAAGAAAUGAAAUGUACAGGGUUAGAGUUGAAUAAGAUUUGUAUUCUUGUCCUCUUACCAAUGAGUCUAAUUGUCUUUUAGUAGUCAUAUGAUUACAUACUACUGGUGGUGUAAUGAUUGUCUUUAAAUGAGUAAUGAAGUUGUUUCAAAGCAUUGUUACUUGUUACCCAGUUUUGGAAACAUUAAGGUGUAUUCACCUUUGUUAUACUUGUGUCUUGUUUUGUCAUCUUAGGUCUUUAUAUUUUUCGCUUAUGUCAAUUUUUCUGGAUCUUUUUGGUUCUCUUUUAACAUUGAAGUUUUCCAAUGAUUUCAUUUAAAUUCUUUUUUCAGUUUGAUCAACGUCAGAAAUUCAUGGGCCUUCCGACAAGUGAUGAGUUGCAGAAACAAGAUAUUCCGAAGAAGUUUCCGAAGAAGUUUAUGGCUGAGGUGAGAAGUAAAUGGCCCCUGCUCCCACUUCUUUUCUCUGCAUUUUAUACGUAUUCCAGGUUUGAAUAUGCCGAUACUAAUUUUACCUAUGUGAAUUUGCAGCACCUGAAAAUGGACUUCUUGAGGGCAAACUUUAAUUAACCAGUAUGAUAAUGCUUAUUGGGUGGGCUUUACUUUUCUGAACUUUCCCCACUCUUAUAUGUGAGGGGUUGGUUUGCUUGCUUUUAAAAUUCAAGUGUUUUUGUUGUGAGUAUUAAAAGACAGGUGUUCUUUAUUAUUAGAUUGGUUACGAAUAUUUUUAAUGUCUGCUUUGCCAUGGCUUUGAACAACAGUAGAAUGUUUCCUAAAUUCUUUAUAUGCUACAACCCCCAUUUUGAGGUACCAUAAACAGCAAGACCCUACAAAUAGCAUCAUGAAAUGUCAUGAUUUAGUGGCACUUCUUCAUUCGUUCUUGCAGAAAAACUUUUUUGAUUUGAAGGGCUCACCAUCUAAAUAUUUUGCCCAAUCUUGAAGUCUCUACGAUAAUGUAAUAUUUUAGAAAUUUCCUCCUCAUUAAAACUAAUAAGUUGCCCACAAUCUUUGUUACAGAUCCUCGCUAUCUUUAUAGGAUGUGUUCCAUUUUUGAAAAAAUUAAUCUUCACAUCGGAUGCUUCGUGCUAUUUUUCACUGAUAGCUGCUUGAUUCUAGGGCACGUUCAGUUCCUUCCCAUAAUGGGUUAUAUUUAAUUACUCUUUUUGCUUUGUGUUUUAUGGUUCUCCAAUUGCGUGUCGCAAUGCACUUUUGAGCUUCAUUUGGAUUAGGUAUGCAAUAGUAGACAUGAUCGGAACAAUUCUGUAAAUUAGGAGUCUGUUUGGGAGUGAUUUUAAGAAUUGAUUUGUUGAUCGUUAGGAGAAAAGUGGGGUCCACCUGUGAGAGAAGAAAUCAAAUAUGACGGCUAGAAUAAUGAAAUAACGGUCAAAAAAUCAAUUUUUUGGGUGAAAAAAUCGGGCCCAAACAAGCCGUAGAUUUAAGCCUUUUCUUUAUAAUAAUGAUCCAUGGUGUCCAAUCUGCACUACCGUGUAUGUACUAGCAUAUAGCACUGCUGUUCCCAUUUCUUGUCGUACAUGUUGCCGUAUGAAUUAUGAGGGCUGUUAAUUAAGUUGGAU